RNAcentral lists this ribosomal RNA (596 nucleotides) under Curtobacterium sp. Ri3Pw_6218. RNAcentral describes it as "bacterial SSU rRNA". It matches the Rfam family "Bacterial small subunit ribosomal RNA", at positions 413 to 1007 of the family's 1533-position model. Lineage: Bacteria; Bacillati; Actinomycetota; Actinomycetes; Micrococcales; Microbacteriaceae. The record is from RNAcentral.
GGCCCUUCUCGGUUGUAUACCUCUUUUAUUAGGGAAGAAGGGAGCUUCGGUUCUUGACGGUACCUGCAGAAAAUGCAUCGGCUAACUACGUGCCAGCAGCCGCGGUAAUACGUAUGGUGCAAGCGUUGUCCGGAAUUAUUGGGCGUAAAGAGCUCGUAGGCGGUUUGUCGCGUCUGCUGUGAAAUCCCGAGGCUCAACCUCGGGCUUGCAGUGGGUACGGGCAGACUAGAGUGCGGUAGGGGAGAUUGGAAUUCCUGGUGUAGCGGUGGAAUGCGCAGAUAUCAGGAGGAACACCGAUGGCGAAGGCAGAUCUCUGGGCCGUAAACUGACGCUGAGGAGCGAAAGCAUGGGGAGCGAACAGGAUUAGAUACCCUGGUAGUCCAUGCCGUAAACGUUGGGCGCUAGAUGUAGGGACCUUUCCACGGUUUCUGUGUCGUAGCUAACGCAUUAAGCGCCCCGCCUGGGGAGUACGGCCGCAAGGCUAAAACUCAAAGGAAUUGACGGGGGCCCGCACAAGCGGCGGAGCAUGCGGAUUAAUUCGAUGCAACGCGAAGAACCUUACCAAAGGCUUGACAUACACCGGAACGGCCAGAGAU